AUCUCUUUAGUAUAAAAAGUAUAACUGACUUCCAAUCAGAGAGUCCGAUUUCGGAAGAGAUA
RNAcentral lists this transfer RNA (62 nucleotides) under Eulimnadia colombiensis. Its description in RNAcentral is "tRNA-Gly". RNAcentral also lists the same sequence under 1 other name. The record is from RNAcentral. Lineage: Eukaryota; Metazoa; Arthropoda; Branchiopoda; Diplostraca; Limnadiidae.